GGCUCGAUUAGGAUGAACCCGGGCACUUAGCCAUGCAGGAACAACGGCGAGCCUCUAGCCCCAUUAGGAGCGGCAAUGGGCGCCUCCUGGAUCAGAAGCGUAGGAGACACCCUGCUGGAUCUGGUGGGGUGGAAGUCAGCAGCGGGUCUGCGAGGGCAGUGAUCAGCAGUGGUGGACGGCGACUGAAAGCUCAGCUCGAGCCAGAACAAGCGAGAACAAAAACGGACUAGAAGAGUGUGACGUUGCAAGAUUUAACAGAGUGAAAACAGAGCUCCCACACAAUGGGAGGGGACCCAAAGGGGGUUACUGCUACUGGAUCGAAUAAUGCCUGGGUUUAAAUCCCGAUCAUUGUCCCUCCCGCUGUGCUCUCAGGCGAUAGAUGAUUUGAUUAUUUCUUUACCCCCCGCUUUUAGCCUAACUGGUAUUUUAGUGAGCUUUCUUUACUACCUGAUAGGCUGGGUGUGAGCUGAGUUACAAGCCCAGUGUUUAAAGCCUCUUAAUUGGGAGAGAGGAGUUCUGGAGGCAAGCAUAUUUGGCAGCUCCAGAGUACAGGCUAUUUCAGUAUUUUUCACUUACCAGUAAGAUUCUCAUGGCUAUCUUCUUGAGUAUUACUUGAAAUUAUUAUGCUGUUGAAAAAAACAAACUGAGAAAUCAUUUGUGGGGUAAAAAAGAUAUGGACAGCAAUAAGUACUUACCUCUAUAUUGAAUGAUAGGUAAGUGAAAAUACAUUAAAGUAGUAUAAGUUUAAAUUGUAAAGAAAUUGUUAAAAAUUCUUGCCUUGCUUAAACAAAAGUUAAAUUUAAUGACAUGCUUGAAAUACUCCAUUACUUAUAUAUUCUCUUGUUUAUUUACCUGCUCACUCAUUUAAUAAAUGUUUAUUAUUUAUCUAUUACAUUACAUUUUCAAUAUUAGAAAAAUUGUAUUAGCAUAGCCAACAUUUGUGUGAAACACAUAAUUUAAUUUAGAAAAUAUUAAAUAAUAUAAAAACGAGUCACAUUAAGGUUUUAUAAAAAUAACACAGAGUAAUCAGUGAGAAUAUAAUGAAUGAUGAAAUUAACAUUAUGGGGUUAAAAUGGUCUUUGUUAAAUAUGAUUAUUCCAUUUGAAACCAAAGAAUAACUGGGUUAGACAAUACAAUGAUAAAGGAAAGUAGCUGAGAAAAUAACAGAAGGAAAGGCUCUGAUUAGGGAGAGAACUUGGAUCCUUUGUGGAACUGGAAGCAGACCUUUGUGUGAGGAGUAGUGCUGAGAUGAAGACUGGAAGAGCACUAUCUACAGAGCAACGCCUGCGGUGGCCAAUGGGAGACCAUUGAGAUGGAGCCUGCCAUAGGAGUGAAAGGGUAAAUGGAGUGAGCAGUGCAUAUGGAAAUAAAUGGAAAAACACUGUAGAUGAAAUAUCUUGUGGUGAAGAAUGGAAGCGCACUAUGUGUGAGGCUUUGGUGAAGAUUGGAAGAGCAUUGUGAAUAGGUCAUGCUCCUUCUUGUUAAAAAUAAUAAAUUCACUUACACUGAGCUUAAGAAUUUCUAUGCAUUGAAACAUACUAAAUGAAUGAAGCAGUAUGCCAAAACUUAUUAAUACAUAAUUAGAGCAAAUAUUUGUAAACUUUUCAAAAACUGAGAGUCAGUAUUAGGCAAACCAGUACUCGUUUCUAGAAUGCUUUUAAAAUAUCUCAAAUCACUAUUAAAAGCACAAGUGACCCAAUAG
Pan troglodytes (chimpanzee) is the source of this 1702-nucleotide long non-coding RNA. RefSeq lists it as uncharacterized. The transcript is spliced from 4 exons. The record is from RefSeq and is a predicted model, not a curated record. Lineage: Eukaryota; Metazoa; Chordata; Mammalia; Primates; Hominidae.